RNAcentral lists this ribosomal RNA (253 nucleotides) under uncultured bacterium. RNAcentral's name for it is "partial 16S ribosomal RNA". It matches the Rfam family "Bacterial small subunit ribosomal RNA", at positions 524 to 776 of the family's 1533-position model. The record is from RNAcentral.
UACAUGUGGGGCAAGCGUUGUUCGGAAUUACUGGGCAUAAAGGGUGCGUAGGCGGCUUGUUAAGUCAGGGGUGAAAGUUUUCGGCCCAACCGGAAAAUGGCCUUUGAUACUGGCGAGCUGGAGUGCGUGAGGGGUAACCGGAACGAGCAGUGUAGCGGUGAAAUGCGUAGAUAUUGCUCGGAAGGCCAACGGCGAAGGCAGGUUACUGGUACGCAACUGACGCUGAGGCACGAAAGCGUGGGGAGCAAGCAGG